This 500-nucleotide ribosomal RNA is filed under the name Starmerella bacillaris. Its description in RNAcentral is "partial large subunit ribosomal RNA". It matches the Rfam family "Eukaryotic large subunit ribosomal RNA", at positions 67 to 671 of the family's 3401-position model. Lineage: Eukaryota; Fungi; Ascomycota; Dipodascomycetes; Dipodascales; Trichomonascaceae. The record is from RNAcentral.
GGGAAGGGAUGCCUAGUAACGGCGAGUGAACAGGCAAGAGCUCAGAUUUGAAAGGCACUUUUGUGCCGUUGUAUUCUGAAGUUAGGGUCCUGAGAAACGAUGCUUAAGUCUUCUGGAAAGGAGCGCCAUGGAGGGUGAUAGCCCCGUCUAGCAUUGACCUCAUAUAGGAUCUUAACAUGGAGUCGAGUUGUUUGGGAAUGCAGCUCAAAUGGGUGGUAUGCUCCAUCUAAAGCUAAAUAUCUGCGAGAGACCGAUAGUAAACAAGUACUGUGAGGGAAAGAUGAAAAGAACUUUGAAAAGAGAGUGAAAAAGUACGUGAAAUUGUUGAAAUGGAAGGGUAGGCCGCUAACCAUGUAGAGCCGUGUUUGGGGGGAAGAUAAAUGCUGUAGAAUGUAGCUCCUCGGAGUAUUAUAGAUGCAGUUCAUAUUCCCACCCGAGCGCGAGGAUCUCAGGUUCUACUAAAUGGUGGUCUACCACCCGUCUUGAACCACGGACCAAUA